RNAcentral lists this ribosomal RNA (577 nucleotides) under uncultured bacterium. RNAcentral's name for it is "partial 16S ribosomal RNA". It matches the Rfam family "Bacterial small subunit ribosomal RNA", at positions 355 to 924 of the family's 1533-position model. The record is from RNAcentral.
UGGGGAAUUUUGGACAAUGGGGGAAACCCUGAUCCAGCCAUCCCGCGUGUGCGAUGAAGGCCUUCGGGUUGUAAAGCACUUUUGGCAGGAAAGAAACGUCGCGGGUUAAUACCCCGCGAAACUGACGGUACCUGCAGAAUAAGCACCGGCUAACUACGUGCCAGCAGCCGCGGUAAUACGUAGGGUGCAAGCGUUAAUCGGAAUUACUGGGCGUAAAGCGUGCGCAGGCGGUUCGGAAAGAAAGAUGUGAAAUCCCAGAGCUUAACUUUGGAACUGCAUUUUUAACUACCGGGCUAGAGUGUGUCAGAGGGAGGUGGAACUCCGCGUGUAGCAGUGAAAUGCGUAGAUAUGCGGAGGAACACCGAUGGCGAAGGCAGCCUCCUGGGAUAACACUGACGCUCAUGCACGAAAGCGUGGGGGAGCAAACAGGAUUAGAUACCCUGGUAGUCCACGCCCUAAACGAUGUCAACUAGCUGUUGGGGCCUUCGGGCCUUGGUAGCGCAGCUAACGCGUGAAGUUGACCGCCUGGGGAGUACGGUCGCAAGNUUAAAACUCAAAUGAAUUGACGGGGUCGAUA